AGCGAACGCUGGCGGCAGGCCUAACACAUGCAAGUCGAACGAAGUCUUCGGACUUAGUGGCGGACGGGUGAGUAACACGUGGGAACGUGCCUUUAGGUUCGGAAUAACUCAGGGACACUUGUGCUAAUACCGAAUGUGCCCUUCGGGGGAAAGAUUUAUCGCCUUUAGAGCGGCCCGCGUCUGAUUAGCUAGUUGGUGAGGUAAAGGCUCACCAAGGCGACGAUCAGUAGCUGGUCUGAGAGGAUGAUCAGCCACAUUGGGACUGAGACACGGCCGAAACUCUUACGGGAGGCAGCAGUGGGGAAUCGAGCGCAAUGGGCGAAAGCCUGACGCAGCCAGGCCGCGUGAAUGAUGAAGGUCUUAGGAUUGUAAAAUUCUUUCACCGAGGACGAUAAUGACGGUACCCGGAGAAGAAGCCCCGGCUAACUUCGUG
This 433-nucleotide ribosomal RNA is filed under the name uncultured bacterium. RNAcentral describes it as "partial 16S ribosomal RNA". It matches the Rfam family "Bacterial small subunit ribosomal RNA", at positions 29 to 507 of the family's 1533-position model. The record is from RNAcentral.